GACGUAGGGUGCAAGCGUUGUCCGGAUUUAUUGGGCGUAAAGAGCUCGUAGGCGGCUUGUUGCGUCGACUGUGAAAACCCGCGGCUUAACCGCGGGCUUGCAGUUGAUACGGGCAGGCUAGAGUUCGGUAGGGGAGACUGGAAUUCCUGGUGUAGCGGUGAAAUGCGCAGAUAUCAGGAGGAACACCGGUGGCGAAGGCGGGUCUCUGGGCCGAUACUGACGCUGAGGAGCGAAAGCGUGGGGAGCGAAUGGG
This 253-nucleotide ribosomal RNA is filed under the name uncultured bacterium. RNAcentral's name for it is "partial 16S ribosomal RNA". It matches the Rfam family "Bacterial small subunit ribosomal RNA", at positions 524 to 776 of the family's 1533-position model. The record is from RNAcentral.